CCACAGGUUCCAAAAAAAUAUUAAGCAACACAACUGUUUCCAACAUUGAUAAUAACUGAGUAUCAAAUCAUCAUAUUACAAUGAUUUCUGAAGGAUCAUGUGACACUGAAGACUGGAGUAAUGAUGCUGAAAAUUCAGCUUUGAUCACAGAAAUAAAUUAUAUUUUAAAGUAUAUUAAAAUAGAAAACCAUAAUUUUAAAUUGUAAUAAUAUUUCACAAUAUUAUUGUUUUUUCUGUAUUUAUUAUGAAAUAAAUGCAGCCUUAAUGAGCAUAAGAGACUUCAAAAACAUUAAGAAUAGUAAUGUUUCCAAACUUUUGACCGGUAGUGUAUGCUUGCAAAAAAUGCUAAUGUUGUGUAAACUGCAGCUCAGAAUGAUGUUGCAUUCUGGUGUAAUAGAGAUAAGAUGAAAUGUGUAGAAGUUGUGAAAGUUGAAGUUCAUGAACUGAUUAACCAACCUGAAAGUUUAACAAGAAGGCACAUGAGGAUGAAGAGAGUGUGUUGCAACCUCAAGUGGAGGUGAGCCAGAUGAAGACUUCAGUGAAGAAGAGGAAGAGUGCUAGAAGAAGACGACAGCAUAGGCGACAAAGGAAGGACAUCCGGCUUAGUAAGCAAGAGAUACAGAGACUGAUACGCCUACAGCAGGAAGAUUGGAUCAUAGGCAUUGAUCAACUGAUGAGUAAUAUGAAGUUGGAAUGUCCCAAAAAUUAGUAUAAAAGUUUGAGGAGUAAAAGGCCUCCUCAGAUGCUGCCUGCAUUAAGCGUAGAAGGACAUCUGAUACCCUAAUGAGGGGCGCUUAACAGCAUCUCCAAUAUUGCUGGGUAAAGCUAGGAUAUAGAGCUUUUUAGCUUAAGUUGAUUUAAGUUUUAUUUUGCAUUAACUGUUUUGUAUUGUAAUCAAUAAAAGAGAGAUUUUAUUGUUGCAUUUGCCUUCCGUGAGACUUUACUUAUAACUACAAACUGAGCCUCGACAAAGAACAACCACAAGGUAGUCUUCUACGUCAUUCCUGAAGAACUUCAACCUGCUGGCGGAGAAACGCUGGAGCUCUGUCAGAGUGACUCACCUCCCUGACUAAGGCCCUUCUCCCCCGAUCACUCAGUUUGGCUGGGCGACCCGCUCUAGGAAGAGUCCUGGUGGUUCCAAACUUCUUCCAAGGAUGAUCAGUGGAAACAGGAGCACCUGAGCUCAAUUUUGAGUGUCAUGGCAAAAGCUGUGAAUACUUAUGUACAUGUGAUUUUUUUCAUUUUUUAUUUUUAAUAAAUUUGCAAAGAUUUCAAACAAA
This is a long non-coding RNA of Ctenopharyngodon idella (grass carp), 1280 nucleotides long. RefSeq lists it as uncharacterized. The transcript has 3 exons. The record is from RefSeq and is a predicted model, not a curated record. Lineage: Eukaryota; Metazoa; Chordata; Actinopteri; Cypriniformes; Xenocyprididae.